GACCGCUCCGGUGGCCUAUUGGUUAGAGUGUCCGCCUCGGAUGCGGUGGGUCGUGAGUUCAAACCCCGACCGAGUCA
Molecule: non-coding RNA, 77 nt
Organism: Potamilus streckersoni
Lineage: Eukaryota; Metazoa; Mollusca; Bivalvia; Unionida; Unionidae
Source: the annotation of a GenBank genome assembly